This 357-nucleotide ribosomal RNA is filed under the name uncultured bacterium. RNAcentral's name for it is "bacterial SSU rRNA". It matches the Rfam family "Bacterial small subunit ribosomal RNA", at positions 8 to 350 of the family's 1533-position model. The record is from RNAcentral.
AGAGUUUGAUCCUGGCUCAGGAUGAACGCUAGCUACAGGCUUAACACAUGCAAGUCGGAGGGGAAACGACAUCGAAAGCUUGCUUUUGAUGGGCGUCGACCGGCGCACGGGUGAGUAACGCGUAUCCAACCUGCCCAUCACUUGGGGAUAACCUUGCGAAAGUAAGACUAAUACCCAAUGACGUCUCUAGAAGACAUCUGGAAAGAGUAUUAAAGAUUUUAUCGGUAGAUGGAUGGGGAUGCGUCUGAUUAGCUUGUUGGCGGGGUAACGGCCACCAAGGCGACGAUCAGUAGGGGUUCUGAGAGGAAGGUCCCCCACAUUGGAACUGAGACACGGUCCAAACUCCUACGGGAGGCA